Molecule: ribosomal RNA, 547 nt
Filed under: Kluyveromyces wickerhamii
Lineage: Eukaryota; Fungi; Ascomycota; Saccharomycetes; Saccharomycetales; Saccharomycetaceae
Description: partial 26S ribosomal RNA
Rfam family: Eukaryotic large subunit ribosomal RNA
Source: RNAcentral
AAACCAACCGGGAUUGCCUUAGUAACGGCGAGUGAAGCGGCAAAAGCUCAAAUUUGAAAUCUGGCGUCUUCGACGUCCGAGUUGUAAUUUGAAGAAGGUAACUUUGUAGCUGGUCCUUGUCUAUGUUCCUUGGAACAGGACGUCAUAGAGGGUGAGAAUCCCGUGUGGCGAGGAUCCCAGUUAUAUGUAAAGUGCUUUCGACGAGUCGAGUUGUUUGGGAAUGCAGCUCUAAGUGGGUGGUAAAUUCCAUCUAAAGCUAAAUAUUGGCGAGAGACCGAUAGCGAACAAGUACAGUGAUGGAAAGAUGAAAAGAACUUUGAAAAGAGAGUGAAAAAGUACGUGAAAUUGUUGAAAGGGAAGGGCAUUUGAUCAGACAUGGCGUUUGCUUCGGCGUUCGCUGGGCCAGCAUCAGUUUUAGCGGUUGGAUAAAUCCUCGGGAAUGUAGCUCUACCUCGGUAGAGUGUUAUAGCCCGUGGGAAUACAGCCAGCUGGGACUGAGGAUUGCGACUUUUGUCAAGGAUGCUGGCGUAAUGGUUAAAUGCCGCCC